Non-coding RNA from Etheostoma spectabile (orangethroat darter), 832 nucleotides. The record is from the annotation of a RefSeq genome assembly. NCBI's taxonomy places the organism in Eukaryota, Metazoa, Chordata, Actinopteri, Perciformes, Percidae.
CAUAGAGAGGAGGCUUUGCAUGGUCAGCUGAUCCUCCAGUGAACUGAGAAGGUUUAUAGUCCUGGGAGUUCAACACUGCAGGACUCAGAUCUGUCAGUCAACACAGCAGAAAGCACGACCACCAUGACUCUCCUCACCAUCCUCAUCUGGACGCUGGCCUGCUGCUGUCUUACAGGAUCUAAUGGUCAAGUGACAGUGACUCAACCUGCUGUUGUAACAUCUCCUCUUGGAUCCGCAGUCACUCUGACUUGUACAACCAACCCAAAAGUUCAUGUUUGGUCAGAUGGAGAUAGUAGAGUACACUGGUACCAGCAGAAAUCUGGAGAAGCUCCGAAGUUGGUCAUCAACUUGGGUACAAAUCCCACAAGUGCAUUUUCUUCUAGAUUCUCUGGCCGAGGAGACGGAGUGAACGCUGCAAUGACCAUCAGUGGAGUUCAGGCUGAAGAUGCAGCAGUUUAUUACUGUCAGAGUUUACAUGUAAUAAACAGUCAUAAAGUGUGGACUUUUGGUGGAGGAACCAAACUCACUUUCACUCUGGUCCCAUGGUCAGGCCCUCAGUCUCUCUGCUUCCCCCUUCCUCUGAGCAGCUCUCUGGGGGCUCGGCCACGCUGGCCUGCCUGCUGACUGGCUACUCUCCCCAGGGAGCCGUGGUGAGCUGGGAGCUGGACGGUACAGAGGUGACAGAGGGGGUCCUGAGCAGCUCCGAGGAGGAGAAGGGUGGACGCUACAGCAGCAGCAGCACCCUGAGCCUGAGCCAGGAGCACUGGAUGUUAGGAGAGCUGUACUCCUGCAAGGUCCUCCAUCAUGGCCACAACCAGACCCAGACCCUCCA